This 450-nucleotide ribosomal RNA is filed under the name uncultured bacterium. RNAcentral describes it as "bacterial SSU rRNA". It matches the Rfam family "Bacterial small subunit ribosomal RNA", at positions 354 to 796 of the family's 1533-position model. The record is from RNAcentral.
GUGGGGAAUUUUGGACAAUGGGCGAAAGCCUGAUCCAGCCAUGCCGCGUGCAGGAUGAAGGCCUUCGGGUUGUAAACUGCUUUUGUACGGAACGAAAAGACUCUGGUUAAUACCUGGGGUCCAUGACGGUACCGUAAGAAUAAGCACCGGCUAACUACGUGCCAGCAGCCGCGGUAAUACGUAGGGUGCAAGCGUUAAUCGGACUUACUGGGCGUAAAGCGUGCGCAGGUGGUUAUAUAAGACAGAUGUGAAAUCCCCGGGCUCAACCUGGGAACAGCAUUUGUGACUGUAUAGCUGGAGUACGGCAGAGGGGGAUGGAAUUCAGCGUGUAGCAGUGAAAUGCGUAGAUAUGCGGAGGAACACCGAUGGCGAAGGCAAUCCCCUGGGCCUGUACUGACGCUCAUGCACGAAAGCGUGGGGAGCAAACAGGAUUAGAAACCCGAGUAGUCC